GGCCCCCGUUGUGUAGCGGCCUAGCACGCCGCCCUCUCAAGGCGGUAGCGCCGGUUCGAAUCCGGUCGGGGUACA
Molecule: transfer RNA, 75 nt
Filed under: Streptomyces avermitilis
Lineage: Bacteria; Bacillati; Actinomycetota; Actinomycetes; Kitasatosporales; Streptomycetaceae
Description: tRNA-Glu
Rfam family: tRNA
About the family: Transfer RNA (tRNA) molecules are approximately 80 nucleotides in length. Their secondary structure includes four short double-helical elements and three loops (D, anti-codon, and T loops).
Source: RNAcentral